CGUGUAGGCGGUCUGUUAAGUCAUGUGUGAAAUCCCUCGGCUCAACCGGGGAACGACGCAUGAAACUGACAAGCUAGAGUACCAAAGAGGGGGGUGGAAUUCCCGGUGUAGCGGUGAAAUGCGUAGAUAUCGUAAGGAAGACCAGUGGCGAAGGCGGGUCUCUGGACAGUUCCUGACGCUGAGGCACGAAGGUCAGGGGAGCAAACG
Molecule: ribosomal RNA, 207 nt
Filed under: uncultured bacterium
Lineage: Bacteria
Description: partial 16S ribosomal RNA
Rfam family: Bacterial small subunit ribosomal RNA
Source: RNAcentral